Non-coding RNA from Mycena filopes, 100 nucleotides. The record is from the annotation of a GenBank genome assembly. NCBI's taxonomy places the organism in Eukaryota, Fungi, Basidiomycota, Agaricomycetes, Agaricales, Mycenaceae.
GGGUGAAUAGUGUAGUUGGUUAUCGCGCCCGCUUCGCACCGCACCGUAUUACGUAAUGCAGCUCUGCGGGAGGUGCUGGGUUCAAUUCCCAGUUCAUCCA